UACGUAGGUGGCGAGCGUUGUCCGGAUUUACUGGGCGUAAAGAGCGCGCAGGCGGUCGAUCAAGUCGGAUGUGAAAGCCCCCGGCUCAACUGGGGAGGGUCAUUCGAUACUGGUCGACUCGAAGGCAGGAGAGGGAAGCGGAAUUCCCGGUGUAGUGGUGAAAUGCGUAGAUAUCAGGAGGAACACCGGUGGCGAAGGCGGUUCUCUGGGCCUUACCUGACGCUGAGGAGCGAAAGCGUGGGGAGCGAACAGG
RNAcentral lists this ribosomal RNA (253 nucleotides) under uncultured bacterium. RNAcentral describes it as "partial 16S ribosomal RNA". It matches the Rfam family "Bacterial small subunit ribosomal RNA", at positions 524 to 776 of the family's 1533-position model. The record is from RNAcentral.